RNAcentral lists this ribosomal RNA (228 nucleotides) under Triticum aestivum (bread wheat). Its description in RNAcentral is "partial small subunit ribosomal RNA". The record is from RNAcentral. Lineage: Eukaryota; Viridiplantae; Streptophyta; Magnoliopsida; Poales; Poaceae.
AUGGACCAAUCCAUCCCUUUUUCCCGUGCAUAUGCAUCAGACUCGGAUGACGAUGGUCCUGAUGAAGAAGUUGAUGAGGGGGGGUUCACACGGAAGGAGGCCAAAGCAUUCAAGAAGGUAUUCGGGCGGGAUCACAAGACACCAUUGUUCAAGGAUCUUAGUCUCGCGGAUGAAGCCGUUGUGGAUGGUGGAAAAUGCAUAUCUCUUGAAGCUAGGCCAAGUUCUCAC